CAGCGCCAUGCUGUGAGGAAGCCCGUGUGGGCAUGAAGAGGCUCGCCAUGCUGUGAGGAAGCCCAUGUGGGCAUGAAGAGGCUCGCGUGGCGAGGAGCAGAGAGGCCCCGCCUCCAGCCCCCGCUGAGCUCCCAGACCAGGGAGGAAGUGGCCUUUAAUCAAGCUGUCCUGAACCGAGCUGUCCCAACUGGGGCCGCACAGAGCACACAGCUGCCUUGCGAGCCCCGCCCAAAUGGCAGAUGUCAACAUACGUCAGAGGCUGAACAAAGGAAUGUACGCACCUGGCGAGCAGUCUGCCCUGAAUGGAGCCCUUCCACCUGACCCAGGGAGAAGGUGUGUGCCCGGCCUUCCUCCCACUCCUCCCCCUGUGAAGGGCUGCCCAUCCGACAGCUGUGCGAACGGAAGGCCUGAACCACUGAGUGACUCCAUCACCCAACAAACUGGCCUCAGAGACACGAGGCAGCGAAGGUCUCCUGAUCCCGCUUGAACCCAAGAAUCCUGGAAUGACUAAUCUCCGACCUGGUGCCCGCAUGCCCCAGGCGCUGGGGACUGACUCAGUGUCCCUCUUGUGGAGCUGACAUUGCAGAGAGGAGACAUGGACGUGAAACAGAGAGAAGGCAGGUGGUGGUAAGCGCGAAGGUAACGGGGAAAGGGGUGGCCAUUUAAAUGGGGUGGCCCAGGAAGGCCUCUGUGAGGUCAUGAGCAGAGGCCUGAGCAAAGAGGAGGCGUGAACCACGUGGACAUGUGGAGGAAGAACUUUCCAGGCCACGAGAACAGUGAGUGCAAAGGCCCUGAGGCGAGAGAGGCUGCACGUUCUGGAAACAGCAAGGAGGCCCGUGUGGCUGGAGUGGGUGAGACGAGUGGCCACAUGGUGCAGGGCUCCGGAACCCCCUCACAGCUGUGGCGUUUACUCUGCGAGAGAUGAAAGGGCAAUUACUUCUCACAUCAUUUGUCUGCGGAAGCUGUGGCCACCCCCCACCCUACCAGCCCGGCUGAGGACAACAAGUUCAUCUUUGUCAAUUAAUUAUUGAACGGUUUAUUUCGCACUGGGAGGUGAUAAGAGAAGGGAAAGCCGUGUUGUGAAAUCAUCACCGUAAUUACACAGACGCUGCCCCAGCGCCCAGCAUCGCAACCCCUCCCCGCCCCCCCCCCCCAGGUGCCUGUGGGGGAGGGAGAGAACAAAGGGCAGGCCUGCUGGGCAGGAGACCUAUCUGUGGCCUUCGGGCAGCCCCUGGGCCUCUGUGGCUGUGAUCAACAAACACACCCCUACAGAGCUUUCAGAGUCCAAGUUGAAGUGGGGAGGGGGAGACAGGGAAUUACGCAGGGCUGGAAGCAUGGUGUGCAGGUCAUGCUUCUUUGUCUGGGAUGAUCAGAAUGCGGGAAGGCUCAGACUACCCUUGUAGUCCUUCCCAUCCUAGGCUAGGAGUCCCGUAGCAUGCACAAAUUGUGGCUGCGUGAUAAAGGGUCUCUGAUACUCUAGCAAAAAGCCCUUUCCUUCCCUCACUCUAGUAACAAUGGCCCACAAAGCUCAGAGCAUCUGUCCCAGGCAGCCUGCCCCAUUACUCCUCACCUCAUCUCCCCUUUGCUCACUCCACUGCAGCCACACUGGUCUC
Myotis myotis is the source of this 1613-nucleotide long non-coding RNA. RefSeq lists it as uncharacterized. The record is from RefSeq and is a predicted model, not a curated record. NCBI's taxonomy places the organism in Eukaryota, Metazoa, Chordata, Mammalia, Chiroptera, Vespertilionidae. The transcript has 5 exons.